UUCGCUCCUAUAUGACUUUUAUUUUAUUUUUUUUAGGAAUUGAGUUUCUUUUUUAAAUCCAACCUAAAUCUUUUUAUUAUAAAAAUUUCAAAUAUAUAAUUUUUUAUACGUGAAUUUUAAAAUCUAACNUUUUUCCAACUCAUUCCUCUCAUUCGCUCCUAUAUGACUUUUAUUUUAUUUUUUUUAGGAAUUGAGUUUCUUUUUUAAAUCCAACCUAAAUCUUUUUAUUAUAAAAAUUUCAAAUAUAUAAUUUUUUAUACGUGAAUUUUAAAAUCUAACUUAUAGAAUGAUUGAAUUGUAAAAAAUAAAAUUUUAAAACAUUAAAUUUUAUAUAGUUUUAUUUUGAUUUUAAUAUCAAACUUUAAUAUUAUAUUACAAUUUGCUAAGCGAUCAAUUUUACAUUUACAAUUUUUGGAAUAUCCAAAAUAUAAUUAGUCGCCUCUUAAUUUUAACAAUUAUGCAUUAUAAAAUUUGUUAGAUAGUUUAAUAUUUUUUUUUUUUCAAAUAAAAUGACUAAUUUAACAAAACCAAUCGAUACUCAACUAUAUCUUCAUUUAGAAUAAUUACAUUUUUGGUCUUCAAAUUAGUAGGAUCUGUGACAAUUGUUCCAAAUAUUUUUUUAAACAAAUAUUGUGUGGUACCGCGGACGGACGCGGCGCGGGAUGUUAAUAUAUAUCAUGUUUUAGUAACUUUUUAGUAAAAAAAGUUAUUUAUAAAAUAAUUUUCAAAACUAUGAAAUUUGAUUAAUUUUUAAUUAAAUAAAGUUGUUAGAAUAAUGUUUAAUGUAUAUAAUAAUACUAUUUGAUAAUAUUUUUAUUUAGUUAUAAUUUUUUAAUCUUAAAAAUUUAAUAAUAAUAUAUUUUAAUUGAUUGAAAUACCAUCUGCGCGCUGC
This 892-nucleotide long non-coding RNA is filed under the name Ananas comosus (pineapple). RNAcentral describes it as "long non-coding RNA (ACOM_LNC022131)". The record is from RNAcentral. Lineage: Eukaryota; Viridiplantae; Streptophyta; Magnoliopsida; Poales; Bromeliaceae.